Molecule: long non-coding RNA, 394 nt
Filed under: Mytilus galloprovincialis (Mediterranean mussel)
Lineage: Eukaryota; Metazoa; Mollusca; Bivalvia; Mytilida; Mytilidae
Source: RNAcentral
UUAAAAUUACCAUUUUAGGGGCAGCAACCCAACAACGGGUUGUCCGAUUCAUCUGAAAAUUUCAGGGCAGAUAGAUCUUGACCUGAUCAACACUUUUACCCUGUCAGAUAUGCUCUAAAUGCUUUGGUUUUUGAGUUAUAAGCCAAAACCUGCAUUUUACCCCUAUGUUCUAUUUUUAGCCAUGGCGGCCAUCUUGGUUGGUUGGCCGGGUCACCGGACACAUUUUUUAAACUAAAUACCCAAUGAUGAUUGUGGCCAAGUUUGGUUUAAUUUGGCCCAGUAGUUUCAGAGGAGAAGAUUUUUGUAAAAGUUAACGACGACGGACGACGACGGACGCCGGACGCAAAGUGAUGGGAAAAGCUCACUUGGCCCUUUGGGCCAGGCGAGCUAAAAA